GGCGGCGUAGCUCAGUUGGUAGAGCAGCGGAAUCAUAAUCCGCGUGUCGGGGGUUCGAAGCCCUCCGCCGCUACCA
Molecule: transfer RNA, 76 nt
Filed under: Nitrospirota bacterium
Lineage: Bacteria; Pseudomonadati; Nitrospirota
Also listed under: 1 other name
Description: Nitrospirae bacterium (groundwater metagenome) tRNA-Met
Rfam family: tRNA
About the family: Transfer RNA (tRNA) molecules are approximately 80 nucleotides in length. Their secondary structure includes four short double-helical elements and three loops (D, anti-codon, and T loops). Further hydrogen bonds mediate the characteristic L-shaped molecular structure. tRNAs have two regions of fundamental functional importance: the anti-codon, which is responsible for specific mRNA codon recognition, and the 3' end, to which the tRNAs corresponding amino acid is attached (by aminoacyl-tRNA synthetases). tRNAs cope with the degeneracy of the genetic code in two manners: having more than one tRNA (with a specific anti-codon) for a particular amino acid; and 'wobble' base-pairing, i.e. permitting non-standard base-pairing at the 3rd anti-codon position.
Source: RNAcentral